Acanthosepion pharaonis is the source of this 109-nucleotide non-coding RNA. NCBI's taxonomy places the organism in Eukaryota, Metazoa, Mollusca, Cephalopoda, Sepiida, Sepiidae. The record is from the annotation of a GenBank genome assembly.
GCCAUAUCAUGUUGAACACAACGGUUUUCGUCCGAUCACCGAAGUUAAGCAACGUCGAGCCUGAUCAGUGCUUAGAUGGAUGACCGCUUGGGAAUGCAAAGUGCUGUAA